CAGAGGUGCCAAGCGUUAGGCGGAAUCACUGGGCUUAAAGCGUGUGUAGGCGGAGCGUUAAGUGCCUUGUGAAAUCCCACGGCUCAACCGUGGAACUGCUGGGCAUACUGGCGCUCUUGAGCCGGCCAGGGGUCGUCGGAACAAACGGUGGAGCGGUGAAAUGCGUAGAUAUCGUUUGGAACGCCAAAGGCGAAAGCAGACGACUGGGGCCGCGCUGACGCUGAGACACGAAAGCCAGGGGAGCAAACGGGAUUAGAUACCCCGGUAGUCCUGGCCCUAAACGAUGUCCACUGGAUCGCGGCGCCUCUGACGGCGUCGCGGUCGGAGCAAAAGUGUUAAGUGGACCGCCUGGGAAGUACGGUCGCAAGGCUA
Molecule: ribosomal RNA, 372 nt
Filed under: uncultured organism
Description: bacterial SSU rRNA
Rfam family: Bacterial small subunit ribosomal RNA
Source: RNAcentral